RNAcentral lists this ribosomal RNA (295 nucleotides) under uncultured bacterium. RNAcentral describes it as "partial 16S ribosomal RNA". It matches the Rfam family "Bacterial small subunit ribosomal RNA", at positions 334 to 622 of the family's 1533-position model. The record is from RNAcentral.
GAGUCUACGGGGGGCAGCAGUAGGGAAUCUUCCACAAUGGACGAAAGUCUGAUGGAGCAACGCCGCGUGAGUGAAGAAGGGUUUCGGCUCGUAAAGCUCUGUUGGUAGUGAAGAAAGAUAGAGGUAGUAACUGGCCUUUAUUUGACGGUAAUUACUUAGAAAGUCACGGCUAACUACGUGCCGGCAGCCGCGGUAAUACGUAGGUAGCAAGCGUUGUUCGGAUUUAUUGGGCGUAAAGCGAGUGCAGGCGGUCCAAUAAAUCUGAUGUGAAAGCCUUCGGCUCAACCGGAGGAUU